AUACGGAGGAUCCGAGCGUUAUCCGGAUUUAUUGGGUUUAAAGGGAGCGUAGGUGGACAGUUAAGUCAGUUGUGAAAGUUUGCGGCUCAACCGUAAAAUUGCAGUUGAUACUGGCUGUCUUGAGUACAGUAGAGGUGGGCGGAAUUCGUGGGGUAGAGGUGAAAUGCUUAGAUAUCACGAAGAACUCCGAUUGCGAAGGCAGCUCACUGGACUGCAACUGACACUGAUGCUCGAAAGUGUGGGUAUCAAACAGGAUUAGAUACCCUGGUAGUCCACACAGUAAACGAUGAAUACUCGCUGUUUGCGAUAUACAGUAAGCGGCCAAGCGAAAGCAUUAAGUAUUCCACCUGGGGAGUACGCCGGCAACGGUGAAACUCAAAGGAAUUGACGGGG
This 393-nucleotide ribosomal RNA is filed under the name uncultured bacterium. RNAcentral describes it as "partial 16S ribosomal RNA". It matches the Rfam family "Bacterial small subunit ribosomal RNA", at positions 523 to 918 of the family's 1533-position model. The record is from RNAcentral.